Lathyrus oleraceus (garden pea) is the source of this 669-nucleotide long non-coding RNA. RefSeq lists it as uncharacterized. The record is from RefSeq and is a predicted model, not a curated record. The transcript has 2 exons. NCBI's taxonomy places the organism in Eukaryota, Viridiplantae, Streptophyta, Magnoliopsida, Fabales, Fabaceae.
GCGAAAAAGAAAACUAGAGAAAAAUUGCUUCUCAGAAUGCCUCAUGGCAACGUGUGGUGUCGCUCCCUCACCUUCGCGUUUCCUUCUCAUAAUCAAUGGUGCUUCAAUACGAACCAGGUGCCCAAGCCUUAAAUAUACAACGCCACACACGGAAGUAACAACGAAAACGCGCUUAUUGUGGAAAAAGCUCCAAGGAAAACAAUCGCUUAUAGGAUUCAAGCAAGCUUCGAGUUUCAAUGUUCUCAUUGCAGUUCAAGGUUCAAAAGUUCCCAAAUUCAAUUUGCUUUAUUAUCAUACGUGCGCAGGCGGAAUGGGACAGUGUCGAAAUCAGACAAAAAAUAAAAACUCACCGGAUUGUAGCUCUGAUGACGAACUGGUAUCUGAAUGAAGGAGCUUAUUUUUGUGAAAUGCAAGGUUCUGUUGGUAUUUUGUCAUAUGCUUUCGGCUGUUAUGCAAGUUAGCAAGGAGCUCUAUCAUGCUUGGACCCUAUGUUGUGGGUUACAAGAUCAUAAAUAGAAUUAUGUAGAACGUUAUAUUUAUGAAUGGAAUUGACUUGAAACGUGUACCUUUGUAAUUGGCAAUUAGUUUGUAACUUUGGAGUUUGUAAUUUGAAUGGAAAUAAAACAUAGAUUGGUUUGUAAUGAAUAGAAAAAUAGAAUUGUAUGGAAA